This 301-nucleotide ribosomal RNA is filed under the name uncultured bacterium. RNAcentral's name for it is "partial 16S ribosomal RNA". It matches the Rfam family "Bacterial small subunit ribosomal RNA", at positions 509 to 807 of the family's 1533-position model. The record is from RNAcentral.
CAGUCGCCACGGUAAUACGAAGGGGGCUAGCGUUGUUCGGAUUUACUGGGCGUAAAGGGCGCGUAGGCGGACUGAUAAGUCAGGGGUGAAAUCCCAAGGCUCAACCUUGGAACUGCCUUUGAUACUGUUUGUCUUGAGUUCGAGAGAGGUAAGUGGAACUGCGAGUGUAGAGGUGAAAUUCGUAGAUAUUCGCAAGAACACCAGUGGCGAAGGCGGCUUACUGGCUCGAAACUGACGCUGAGGCGCGAAAGCGUGGGGAGCAAACAGGAUUAGAUACCCGAGUAGUCCCUGUCUCUUAUAC